UACGGAGGGUGCAAGCGUUAGUCGGAAUUAUUGGGCGUAAAGGGUGCGUAGGCUGGUAUGUAAGUCAGACGUGAAAUUCCGAGGCUCAACCUCGGAGCGGCAUCUGAAACUGCGUACCUAGCGGAAUGGCGGAGAAAACGGAAUUCCACGUGUAGCGGUGAAAUGCGUAGAUAUGUGGAAGAACACCUGUGGCGAAAGCGGUUUUCUAGCCUACUCCAGACGCUGAGGCACGAAAGCAAGGGGAUCAAACAGG
RNAcentral lists this ribosomal RNA (253 nucleotides) under uncultured bacterium. Its description in RNAcentral is "partial 16S ribosomal RNA". It matches the Rfam family "Bacterial small subunit ribosomal RNA", at positions 524 to 776 of the family's 1533-position model. The record is from RNAcentral.